Molecule: ribosomal RNA, 466 nt
Filed under: uncultured bacterium
Lineage: Bacteria
Description: partial 16S ribosomal RNA
Rfam family: Bacterial small subunit ribosomal RNA
Source: RNAcentral
ACGAACGCUGGCGGCGUGCUUAACACAUGCAAGUCGAACGGAAAGGCCCUGCUUUUGUGGGGUGCUCGAGUGGCGAACGGGUGAGUAACACGUGAGUAACCUGCCCUUGACUUUGGGAUAACUUCAGGAAACUGGGGCUAAUACCGGAUAGGAGCUCCUGCUGCAUGGUGGGGGUUGGAAAGUUUCGGCGGUUGGGGAUGGACUCGCGGCUUAUCAGCUUGUUGGUGGGGUAGUGGCUUACCAAGGCUUUGACGGGUAGCCGGCCUGAGAGGGUGACCGGCCACAUUGGGACUGAGAUACGGCCCAGACUCCUACGGGAGGCAGCAGCGGGGAAUAUUGCACAAUGGGCGGAAGCCUGAUGCAGCAACGCCGCGUGCGGGAUGACGGCCUUCGGGUUGUAAACCGCUUUCGCCUGUGACGAAGCGUGAGUGACGGUAAUGGGUAAAGAAGCACCGGCUACUACGUG